Molecule: ribosomal RNA, 449 nt
Filed under: uncultured bacterium
Lineage: Bacteria
Description: partial 16S ribosomal RNA
Rfam family: Bacterial small subunit ribosomal RNA
Source: RNAcentral
AACGAACGCUGGCGGCAUGCCUAACACAUGCAAGUCGAACGAGACCUUCGGGUCUAGUGGCGCACGGGUGCGUAACGCGUGGGAGUCUACCCUUGGGUUCGGAAUAACAGUUAGAAAUGACUGCUAAUACCGGAUGAUGACGUAAGUCCAAAGGUUUAUCGCCCAAGGAUGAGCCCGCGUAAGAUUAGCUUGUUGGUGGGGUAAUGGCCUACCAAGGCGACGAUCUUUAGCUGGUCUGAGAGGAUGAUCAGCCACACUGGGACUGAGACACGGCCCAGACUCCUACGGGAGGCAGCAGUGGGGAAUAUUGGACAAUGGGCGAAAGCCUGAUCCAGCAAUGCCGCGUGGGUGAUGAAGGCCUUAGGGUUGUAAAGCUCUUUUACCAGGGAUGAUAAUGACAGUACCUGGAGAAUAAGCUCCGGCUAACUCCGUGCCAGCCGCCGCGGUAA